UGGCCACAUCACAUUGAAAUGCCUAUUCUCAUACGAUCACCAAAGUUAAGCAAUGAUGAGCCUGGUCAGUACCUAGAUAGGUGACCAGUUAGGAAUACCAGAUGCU
This is a non-coding RNA of Acanthosepion pharaonis, 106 nucleotides long. The record is from the annotation of a GenBank genome assembly. Lineage: Eukaryota; Metazoa; Mollusca; Cephalopoda; Sepiida; Sepiidae.